Molecule: long non-coding RNA, 403 nt
Filed under: Coffea arabica (coffee)
Lineage: Eukaryota; Viridiplantae; Streptophyta; Magnoliopsida; Gentianales; Rubiaceae
Description: long non-coding RNA (CARA_LNC001193)
Source: RNAcentral
AGACUCCUUAGGAAUCACAAGAGUUGCCGGCUUUUGUGGUUUCCUGUGGAUAAAGUCUCGUAAAAUGCAAAAGUCAAUCUGCUUGGCUAGACAAAAAAGACAGACUGUCCGCUUGGGGUUUGCGUUUCUCUUUAGUGCGUGUGAGCCUUGAGUGCUUAAGUUUGUCCCACAUCGAACUUGGGAGGGGGAUUUGGGUAGUUUAUUAGGCUCCUCAAGAACCACAAGAGUUGCCGAUUUUUGUGGUUUCCUGUGGAUAAAGUCUCGUAAAAUGCAAAAGUCAAUCUGCUUGGCUAGACAAAAAAAAAAAAAAAGUACAUUCUUUGUGCCUCCAAUACUGCUCAUUUAUUACUGAUAUCUACCUUGUAUAUAAAAAGAAAACCAAGUUAUUGUAGUUAAUCAUUUU